UUGGAGUUGGAGAAAGUUUGCGAGAGGGUGAACCCGGUGGGUUCCGAGACACGCACCCCCGCGGAGAUUAAAAAAAAGUGGUCGGACCUCAAGGUGGAGGUCAAGCGGCGUACAGCUGCCCUCCGGAGUAGUACUGGCCAGACAGGUGGUGGUCCGGUGGAGGAGACCCUCACGCCGUUUGAGCAGUGGGUGGUGGCGAUUAUGGGGGGCGCCUCUGUGGGGGGGAUUGUCGUCGCUACCCACGGCGACUCAGGCAGCCUGCCGGAGGGUAAGUGGCGUGUCACAAAAAUGUCCACAUGCUUUGCCAUAGAUGUAAACGCAACAGAUACACAGAAGCAGGAAUUGAAAUGAACCAAUAUUUUUAUUGUGUCACAGAAAUCAAUGUGUCGGCCGUGUCGCUGGCUUGCGGAACCCCGGCCCGCGGCAGAGCGUCCGCCGGCUCGGAGUCGUCAGCCAGGACCAGCAGCAUUCGGGCCACCCCGGCCCCGGCCCCAGCACCAGCGCGCCGACAAGCGGUGGAGUGUCCACCAGCCGCGGCGCUUCCGCUGGACCACCCGGACCCAGUGGAAGGGUCCUCACGGAGGCGGUCCUGCAAUCGCAGGAAGAAAUCAUCAGGGGGAUCGCCAGGAUCAACGAGCGGCUGGACCGGCUCGUAAAUGUCCUCAAGCGUCUGGUGGAGAAAAUAAAUUAAUUUGGCUCAUUGAACUGUGUAUUCACUUCUUACCCAUUCACAUUGUGGUGAUGAGAUUCUGCCGCGUGCGGACGGUGGCCUGGCAUGGAUCAGCUCGCAUCCCUCCGUCUGCUGCUGGUUCGUAAUGUGGGGCGACGUGCUGCUCGGCCACGGGGAUGUGGUGCAGGUCCACUGCGAUGUGUGAACGCUUGUCACAUAGUGAGUCACCAAACACCGCCACACAGCGUCGCCAAAGUGCCGUCACUGCAAGUAUCGGCUCAACGCCAACUGCUACACCACCUCCUCACUUUGCGUGGAUUUGCGCUGGAACCGACGCUCGUGUCGCAAUGAUAAAUCUGGACGUGUGCGCCGAUCUUGGCGAACGCAAGGUUUUCUGGCGCCGCCAGCGUUGAUACAUGAGGCCCCUGAUCACUGAAACAAAUCAUCUGUUCAGCCGCCACAGCAGCAGCUGCAGCAGGACGGGGAGAGGACACAGAGACAUGUCCAGGUCAAGCUGGACUUCAGUUUUGUUUUCAUUGAGCUGGAGAAAGUUUGCAGCCAUCCAGGAUUUGAUGUCAUGAAGACAGUAAUUAAGGUCACGUUGUUUGUUGUAGUUAUUAGGCUGAAGGGGGAGGUAGAUCUGUGUGUCAUCUGCAUAACAGUGAAAAGAUAUGUUGUGCUUUUUAAUAAUGUGACCAAGGAGAAGCAUAUAGAUGGAGAAGAGAAUUGGACCAAGUAUGGAACCUUGGGGGACCCCAUGGGAAAUGCGGGCUGAGGAAGAAGAGGAGUUUCUAAUGGAGACACUGAAUGAUCUCUUGGAUAAAUAUGAGGAAAACCAGUUUAAGGCACAACCAGAGACUCCUGCCCAUUGGUUUAAUCUGUGAACGAGAAUUGAGUGAUCUACUGUGUCAAAGGCUGCAGUUAGAUCGAGGAGCAGGUGGAUGGUGCGCUUACUUGAGUAAGCAGCUACAAGGAGGUCAUUAGUUAUUCUCAGUAAUGCAAAUUCAGUACUGUGAAGAGCUCUGAAAUCAGACUGGAACUUUUCAAAAAUGCAGUUUUCAGCCGGGUGGGACCACAGUUGGUUAAAAACAACUUUUUCAAGUAUUUUGGAAAGAAAGGGUAGUUUGGAUAUGUCUGGAUAGGUCUGUAAUUGUUGAGAACUGAAGGAUCUAGAUUCUGUUUUUUUUAAAGUGGCUGGAUAACUGCAUGUUUGAAAGAUUAGGGAACAUGACUGGUUUCCAGGGAGCUAUUGAUAAUUGAGCGAACACUAGGGCUAAUGGUGCCAAUGACUUCUUUGAAGAGUAUAAUUGGAAUAGUGUAGAGAUAGCAGGUGGAGGUUUUCAUAGAACAGAUAACAUGAUAAAGUUCUGAUAAAGUGAUGGAGUUACUAGAAUUGAGAACUGCAGUAUUUUCAGAGGAGAUGGAUAGGCUAUUUACAGAUGGAUUAAUAGUAGCUCUGAUGUUAAUCACUUUGUCUCUAAAGAAUUUGGGGAACUCCUCACAUUUAGAGUCAGAUGCUUCAAGGCAGGAGGUGAGAGUGGAGGAAAUGACAGAGUUCAACACACUAAGAAGUACCCUGGGAUUAUGACAGUUUUUUUCAAUGAUAUCAGAAAAAUAUUGAGCUCUGGCAUUUUUGAGCGGCCAGCUGAUAUUUAUCCAAGAGAACCUUCAGGAUUUGGAAUGUGAGCUGCAAUGUGUCCCGCUUCCACCUUCGCUCUGCCCUUCUGCACGUUGUCCUAAUUUCUCUUGUAUUUUUAUUAAGCCAUGGUGAGGCCAGAGGCUUACGUUUUUCAAUUGUUAGAGGUGCAACAGAGUCAAGGGUGGCCGAAACAGUACUGGUGAAAAGAGAGACAAUUUCCUCUGUGCUCACAUGAGAUGGUGCACCCUCGAUACUGUUAAUGUUGUGGACCCCAGGAAGAGUAGCUGCUACUCUGGUGGCAGCUAAUGGGGAUCCGUAUGAAUGAAUAAAGAAUGUUGGCAGCCUCUCUGUAGGCUUCUGCAAACUUAGUGGCAGUGGAUGAAUUGAUGGUGCAGGAGCGGAGAAGAGCAGGGCGAACCGGAGAAAGAUAAGGCAAAUUGAGAUAAAAAAUGAUUGCUUUGUGAUCAGAUACAUGAAAAUCUUCUAUUACUGGGUUUGAGAUAGAGAUACCUGAGGAGAGAACUAAAUCUAAUGUAUGGCCUUUAACAUGGGUUGGGCCAUUCACAGACUGGUGGAGACCAAAAGUUUCGAGUAAGUUUAUAAAAUCACGAGUCAUGGCUUCAGUGGGACAACAUAUAUGGAUGGUGAAAUCUCCAAGAAUAAGAAUAUUGUCAUACUUUGGGGCAAUGUUGGAAAGGAGAUCAGAAAACUCACUGAUAAAAUCAAUGUUUGGUUUGGGUGGUCUGUAUAAUAGCAGGCAGAGGACCGGUGAGCUGCCAUCUAUCACAAAAGCCAACUAGGGCCCCGUUGGGGCACUGGCGGGCCCGAGCCGUGUCGCGCCGCCCCCCCCCAACGCGCUGCCUCCCCGUCCCAUUCGCGUCCUCUGGCCAUCGACCUCUCUGGUAACGCCCAUCACUGCAAAGACCCGUUUCCUUCAUCUGCGUUUGCUGUUCUUCCUGCCAGUGUGUGUUGCUUUCACUUACACUUGCCACAGCCAGCCUCGUGAGUGCCUAGCCUAUUGGAUAUCACUGUCACCUACACAGGACAGUCAUUACCUUUCUAUUAAUACUUUGUUUUUUAAUUUCACAUUAAUUUCCAUAUUGUAUAAACGACUGGAAAAAACUUGAGCCCCUGCCCCUGUAUAAUCAUGUGCACGUCUCUGUUCUAGCUCCAAGGUGAAUCUUCACUGCUCAUGUUCUCCUCAGAAGCAGUCACCUCACUCCCCUCAGGGUACUGUACACAUGCACCAACUGCCUGCUUCAGGUUUGGAUGGAGCUUCAUGGUUGUCCGUGGGGUGCAGCGUCAUGAUUUGUACAACUUUGAAUGGCCAUGGGGUGUAGAUUGGCCUGAGCAAAUUUGGUGUCAGUGGGAAAAAAGGCCAGUCAGGACAAAAAUAAAAAGUUAUGACUUCAAAAAAUGUGGAUAUUUGGGUCAUCUUUGGCGCCCCCUAGAACGUAAACCGUGGGGUGCAGCGUCAUGAUUUGAAUAACUUUUAAUGGCCAUGGGGUGUAGAUUGGCCUAAGCAAAUGUGGUGCCGGUGGAACGAAAGCCUUAGGAGGAGUUAGCCACAUUCCAAUGUGUGCGGAUCAGCAAAAAAUGCGGAAUAAUCCUUUAACCGUACAUUUGACAGAUACGUGCGCAUUGACUUUUUCGUAGAUCUUAUUGAGAUACAUGUGUGUGUCAAUUUUCGUGUCAUUUUGCCAAAGCGUAAAGGCGUGACACUCAACAAUGUGUAUUUUCACCUUAGGGGACAAGAAAAAAUUGACUUUUUUCUCCUGCCAUGGGGGGGCGCUCAUUUGGGGAGUAAAAAUUCCUUCACAAAUGUGUUGAUGGCUGGACAUUGCAUCAUCCUAGAAAACUUGGAGGCCAGUGAGGACAAAAAUAAAAAGUUAUAAGACUUUUAAAUAUGUGGAUUUUAGGGUUAUUUUUGGUGCUCCCUAGAACGUAAACCGUGGGGUGCAGCGUCAUGAUUUGAAUAACUUUUAAUGGCCAUGGGGUGUAGAUUGGCCUGAGCAAAUGUGGUGCCGGUGGAACGAAAGCCUUCGGAGGAGUUAGCGAAAUUCCAAUGUGUGCAGAUCUGCAAAAAAUGCAAAAUAACCCAUUAACCGUACAUUUGACAGAUACGCCCGCACUGACUUUUUUGUAGAUCUUAUUGAGAUACAUGUGUGUGUCAAUUUUUGUGUCAAUAUGACAAAGCGUACAGCAGUCAUGUGAAUUUCCACCUUAGGGGGCGCUAUGGAGCCAUUUUGCAUUUUAUUGUUUGGGCGACUUCAGAAUAUCGAAUUUUUCACCAGGCCCGGUCGUCCUGCCAAAUUUCAUGAGUUUUCGCCAGUGGGAAGUGGGCCAUUUUCCAGUUCAAAGGGGAGGAAAAAGAAACUAGGACCCCGUUGGGGCACUGGCGGGCCCGAGCCGUGUCGCGUCCCCCCCCCAACGUGCUGCCUCCCCGUCCCAUUUGUGUCCUCUGGCCAUCGCCCUCUCUGGUAACGCCCAUCACUGCAAAGACCCUUUUCCUUCAUUGGCGUUUGCUGUUCUUCUUGCCAGUGCGUGUUGCUUUCACUUACACUUGCCACAGCCAGCCUCGUGAGUGCCUAGCCUAUUGGAUAUCACUGUCACCUACACAGGACAGUCAUUACCUUUCUAUUAAUACUUUGUGUUUUAAUUUCACAUUAAUUUCCAUAUUGUAUAAACGACUGGAAAAAACUUGAGCCCCUGCCCCUGUAUAAUCAUGUGCAUGUCUCUGUUCUAGCUCCAAGGUGAAUCUUCACUGCUCAUGUUCUCCUCAGAAGCACUCACCUCACUCCCCUCAGGUUACUGUACACAUGCACCAACUGCCUGCUUCAGGUUUGGAUGGAGCUUCAUGGUUGUCUUUUGGAGAAAUGACCAGUCAAGUUGUGUUUGAAAUUUGAUUUUUUUCAGGGGCAAAAGGAGCCUCUGCAUUCUUGUCAAAUAUGUAAAUAGCAUGUUUUUGCAGGUGCUAAAAACCAGACUCUGAGUGUGUGUGUGUGUGUGCGUGUGUGUGUGUCUGUGUGUGCGUUCAAGUCACAUGACAUAUUUAACCGGAUGUAGCUGCAAGACGGAGCCUCGUUGACUCUCCGUUUCAACUUAUCUCAAAAGUGAGGACCUCAACCUAUAUACCAGUUUUUAAAUUGUGAUGAUAGGCCAAAUAAAACCAGAGUUAUGAUAAAUUAUGUCCGCGAUACUUUUUUUCUGCUUAUUUUGAUCACGUUCGGCGCUCGAUCGCGCUGUAUGAGACAGGAAAACAUAGCAUGCAGACAUUAGCGACAGCUCUUACAGGCGGAAAAGGCUUGCCAAAAGAAAAAAAAAACACACCACAACAUCUCUCCUAUUGGUGGAAAACUUCACCACAACAACCAAUCCAAAAUUAUAUGGUGACUGAUUGACAAGGGGCGGGCGCUUACGUUCUUCCUGCAACAUGAGAAGCGAGGGAGGGACUCUCAGCAGGGAUGCAGUCUGGGACACGUAGUUGCAAACCUAGCGACUUUGUUGUUAGAUUCAAUGACUUUUCAGACCCCCUAACGCAAAUGUGGUGCCGGUGGAACGAAAGCCUUCGGAGGAGUUAGCGAAAUUCCAAUGUGUGCGGAUCGGCAAAAAAUGCGCAAUAACCCUUUAACCGUACAUUUGACAGAUACGCCCGCACUGACUUUUUUGUAGAUCUUAUUGAGAUACAUAUGUGUGUCAAUUUUUGUGUCAAUAUGACAAAGCGUACAGGCGUGACAGUCAAUAGUGUGAAUUUCCACCUUAGGGGGUGCUAUGGAGCCAUUUUGCAUUUUAUUGUUUGGGCGACCUCAGAAUAUCGAAUUUUUCACCAGGCCCGGUCGUCCUGCCAAAUUUCAUGAGUUUUCGCCAGUGGGAAGUGGGCCAUUUUCCAGUUCAAAGGGGAGGAAAAAGAAGAAAGAAAGAAACAACUAGGGCCCCGUUGGGGCACUGGCGGGCCCGCGCCGUGUCGCACCCCCCCCCCCCCCCCCCAACGCGCUGCCUCCCCGUCCCAUUCGUGUCCUCUGGCCAUCGCCCUCUCUGGUAACGCCCAUCACUGCAAAGACCCUUUUCCUUCAUCGGCGUUUGCUGUUCUUCCUGCCAGUGCGUGUUGCUUUCACUUACACUUGCCACAGCCAGCCUCGUGAGUGCCUAGCCUAUUGGAUAUCACUGUCACCUACACAGGACAGUCAUUACCUUUCUAUUAAUACUUUGUUUUUAAUUUCACAUUAAUUUCCAUAUUGUAUAAACAACUGGAAAAAACUUGAGCCCCUGCCCCUGUAUUAUCAUGUGCACGUCCCUGUUCUAGCUCCAAGGUGAAUCUUCACGGCUCAUGUUCUCCUCAGAAGCAGUCACCUCACUCCCCUCAGGUUACUGUACACAUGCACCAACUGCCUGCUUCAGGUUUGGAUGGAGCUUCAUGGUUGUCUUUUGGAGAAAUGAGCAGUCAAGUUGUGUUUGAAAUUUGAUUUUUUUCAGGGGCAAAAGGAAGCCUCUGCAUUCUUGUCAAAUAUGUAAAUAGCAUGUUUUUGCAGGUGCUAAAAAACAGACUCUGAGUGUGUGUGUGUGUGUGUGUGUGUGUGUGUGUGUGUGUGUGUGUGCGUGUGUGUGUGUAUGUCUGUGUGUGUGUGUGUGUGUGUGUGUGUAUCCUGCAGUACUCUGAGAAGAAUAAUAAGCAUAUUUCUGAGGUGAAUUUUGAAGAUUCAUCUGAGAGUUAGGUUUGAUUCGAUUCGAUUGACGCUCCCCAGCGUUCAAGUCACAUGACAUAUUUAACCGGAUGUAGCUGCAAUACGGAGCCUCGUUAACUCUCCGUUUCAACUUAUCUCAAAAGUGAGGACCUCAACCUAUAUACCAGUUUUUAAAUUGUGUUGAUAGGCCAAAUAAAACCAGAGUUAUGAUAAAUUAUGUCCGCGAUACUUUUUUUCUGCUUAUUUUGAUCACGUUCGGCGCUCGAUCGCGCUGUAUGAGACAGGAAAACAUAGCAUGCACACAUUAGCGACAGGUCUUACAGGCGGAAAAGGCUUGCCAAAAGAAAAAAAAACACACCACAACAUCUCUCCUAUUGGUGGAAAACUUCACCACAACAACCAAUCCAAAAUUAUAUGGUGACUGAUUGACAAGGGGCGGGCGCUUACGUUCUUCCUGCAACAUGAGAAGGGAGGGAGGGACUCUCAGCAGGGAUGCAGUCUGGGACACGUAGUUGCAAACCUAGCGACUUUGUUGUUAGAUUCAAUUACUUUUCAGACCCCCUAACGACUUUUUUUUGAAAGAAAGGGACUUUUAUCGACUUCUUCUGGAGUUUAGAGACUCUGACAUGAAGCAGGCUUUCCUUACUGAGGAGUUAGCAACGCUGCUAAGGGUGCAGAGCCACACAUGCGCUCCGAGCUCUGCAUGGGAGACUGAAGCUGACAGAGCUGCAGCAGUUAGCAGGUUUCACCCUCAGAGACCACCAGGGGUUCAUGUUGAGGCAUUUUCAGUUUUUGUUUUUUUUGCCAUAGACUGUCAGCACAAUCUGCAGUUACACUAACAAAAAUGCUGCAAAAAACAAAGAAUUAUGGAAAAAUUACACAUGGACUGACAUAGAGGAGGAUCUACACAAGUUUUUUACAUCAUGUUUUACAUCAUGCAUCAUUUACAUCAUGUUUUUUUGUAGUGGCAUAAAUAAAAAGUGACAUUUGUGAGACUAUACAGUGUUUUGUAAAUAAUUUUACAAAGAACGCCUGGGCCGUUGCCUGCAUUUUGAUGUAAAUAGAGGUAAAUUACUAUGUUCUUUGUUAAAAAUUUGCAUAUGUUUUGAAGUUUACAAUUUUUAUUUGAAGUUUAAGUUUUAAAAACAGUUCAUCACACAUAUUUGUGGUUUAAUUUCACAUUAAUUUCCAUAUUGUAUAAAUGACUGGAAAAAACUUGAGCCCCUGCCCCUGUAUAAUCAUGUGCACGUCCCUGUUCUAGCUCCAAGGUGAAUCUUCACUUCUCAUGUUCUCCUCAGAAAUAGUCACCUCACUCCCCUCAGGUUACUGUACACAUGCACCAACUAUCUGCUUCAGGUUUGGAUGGAGCUUCCUGGUUGUCUUUUGGAGAAAUUAACAGUCAAGUUGUGUUUGAAAUCUAAUUUUUUUCAGGGGCAAAAGGAAGCCUCUGCAUUCUUGUCAAAUAUGUAAACAGCAUGUUUUUGCAGGUGCUAAAAAACAGACUCUGAGUGUGUGUGUGUGUGUGUGUGUGUGUGUGUGUGUAUGUGUGUGUAUCCUGCAGUACUCUGUACUCCUGCAGUGGCCAAAAAGACUUUUAAGAAUGUGGAUUUUUGGGUCAUCUUUGGCGCCCCCUAGAACUGCAGUACUCUGUACUCCUGCAGUGGCCAAAAUGACUUUUAAGAAUGUGGAUUUUUGGGUCAUCUUUGGCGCCCCCUAGAACGUAAACCGUGGGGUGCAGCAUCAUGAUUUUUACAACUUUGAAUGGGCAUGGGGUGUAGAUUGCCCUGAGCAAAUUUGGUAUCGGUGGGACGAAAGUCUUAGGAGGAGAUAGCCACAUUCCAAUGUGUGCGAAUCGGCAAAAAAUGCGAAAUAGCCCUUUAACCGUACAUUAUACAGAUACGCGCUUUUUGACUUUUUCGUAGAUCUAAUUGAGAUACACAUGAUUGUCAAUUUUUGUGUCAAUAUGACAAAGCGUUCAGGCGUGACACUCAACAAUGUGUAUUUUCAUGUAAGGGGACAAGAAAAAAAGGACUUUUUUCUCCUGCCAUGGGGGGCGCUCUUUUGGGGAGUAAAAAUUCCUUCACAAAUGUGUUGAUGGCUGGACAUUGCAUCAUCCUAGAAAACUUGGAGGGCAGUGAGGACAAAAAUAAAAAGUUAUAAGACUUUUAAGAAUGUGGAUUUUGGGUUAUCUUUGGCGCCCCCUAGAACGUAAACCGUGGGGUGCAGCGUCAUGAUUUGUACAACUUUUAAUGGCCAUGGGGGGUAGAUUGGCCUGCGCAAAUGUGGUGCCGGUCGAACGAAAGCCUUCGGAGGAGUUAGCGAAAUUCCAAUGUGUGCAGAUCUGCAAAAAAUGCAAAAUAACCCAUUAACCGUACAUUUGACAGAUACGCCCGCACUGACUUUUUUGUAGA
This is a non-coding RNA of Xyrichtys novacula (pearly razorfish), 9402 nucleotides long. The record is from the annotation of a GenBank genome assembly. Lineage: Eukaryota; Metazoa; Chordata; Actinopteri; Labriformes; Labridae.